RNAcentral lists this long non-coding RNA (283 nucleotides) under Zonotrichia albicollis (white-throated sparrow). RNAcentral describes it as "lncRNA (ENSZALG00000014604.1)". The record is from RNAcentral. Lineage: Eukaryota; Metazoa; Chordata; Aves; Passeriformes; Passerellidae.
AUUUCUAUGAACAGGUGUGAUCUGUAGUACCUACUGAAGAGGUGCCGCCCUUUUCUCCUAUUAUUGCAAUGCAGACAGACAGUCAGUGUCUGCUAUCCAGACGGAGAGGAGGUUCCCAGCACACAGUUCCAUGCAACAAAAGGCUCUCCUAAAUACGAGGGCAAAUUUAGCAGGAAGAGGACUGGGUUCAGGUAACAUAAUGCCUGAAUUUUGAAAAGCACUGCUUCCUAUUUAAAUUAGAUUGAUGGACCUUUCAGAGUAAUUUCAAGAAUACAUUGAUGCU